GACGAACGCUGGCGGCGUGCUUAACACAUGCAAGUCGAACGGAAAGGCCCUGCGUGUUACGCGUGCGCCAGACGCGUACGUGACACUAGCAUAACCUUAACCAGCCUUUGACUUAGGCCUCGCUACCGGAGGCUGGUACCAAUACCGGCAAGGAGUCCCUGCUGCUCGGUGUGGGUUGUUAAGUUUCGUCGGUUGGGGUUGGACUCGGGGCUCUUCUGCUUGUUGUGGGGGCAUUGGCUACCAAGGCGUUGACGGGUAGCCGGCCUGAGAGGGCGACCGGCCACACUGGGACUGAGAUACGGCCCAGACUCCUACGGGAGGCAGCAGUGGGGAAUAUUGCACAAUGGGCGGAAGCCUGAUGCAGCGACGCCGCGUGCGGGAUGACGGCCUUCGGGUUGUAAACCUCUUUCGGCAGGGACGAAGCGUAAGUGACGGUAACGGGAGAAGAAGCGCCGGCUAACUACGUG
This 467-nucleotide ribosomal RNA is filed under the name uncultured bacterium. Its description in RNAcentral is "partial 16S ribosomal RNA". It matches the Rfam family "Bacterial small subunit ribosomal RNA", at positions 28 to 507 of the family's 1533-position model. The record is from RNAcentral.